RNAcentral lists this microRNA (21 nucleotides) under Oreochromis niloticus (Nile tilapia). RNAcentral describes it as "oni-miR-10832". Lineage: Eukaryota; Metazoa; Chordata; Actinopteri; Cichliformes; Cichlidae. The record is from miRBase by way of RNAcentral.
UGCUAACCACCAUGCCAGACU